RNAcentral lists this ribosomal RNA (164 nucleotides) under Renealmia pyramidalis. RNAcentral describes it as "5.8S ribosomal RNA". It matches the Rfam family "5.8S ribosomal RNA". From Rfam's summary of the family: 5.8S ribosomal RNA (5.8S rRNA) is a component of the large subunit of the eukaryotic ribosome. Lineage: Eukaryota; Viridiplantae; Streptophyta; Magnoliopsida; Zingiberales; Zingiberaceae. The record is from RNAcentral.
CAAAUGACUCUCGGCAAUGGAUAUCUUGGCUCUUGCAUCGAUGAAGAACGUAGUGAAAUGCGAUACUUGGUGUGAAUUGCAGAAUCUCGUGAACCAUUGAGUCUUUGAACGCAAGUUGUGCCCGAGGCCUUGCGGUCGAGGGCACGCCUGCUUGGGCGCCAUUG